RNAcentral lists this ribosomal RNA (120 nucleotides) under uncultured bacterium. Its description in RNAcentral is "partial 16S ribosomal RNA". It matches the Rfam family "Bacterial small subunit ribosomal RNA", at positions 32 to 147 of the family's 1533-position model. The record is from RNAcentral.
AAUCAACGCUGGCGGCGUGCCUAACACAUGCAAGUCGAACGCGAAAGGGGCUUCGGCCCUGAGUAGAGUGGCAAACGGGUGAGUAACGCGUGGGUGACCUACCUUCGAGUGGGGGAUAAC